UGGUGGAGUGAUUUGUCUGGUUAAUUCCGAUAACGAACGAGACCUUAACCUGCUAAAUAGUACGCCCAACAAUUGUUAGGCGGCACUUCUUAGAGGGACUGACUAUGUUUAAUAGUCGGAAGUUUGAGGCAAUAACA
RNAcentral lists this ribosomal RNA (137 nucleotides) under uncultured eukaryote. RNAcentral's name for it is "partial 18S ribosomal RNA". It matches the Rfam family "Eukaryotic small subunit ribosomal RNA", at positions 1299 to 1458 of the family's 1831-position model. The record is from RNAcentral.